UCCCCCACAUCUCUAACCCCCCUAAUAAGUUUUUCUCCUUCCUUAGCCUCAUGUGUGUUUGACUUUGCAUCUUCCUUUUCACAGCAUGCUUUCAUGUAAGACAGAAUAUCUGCUCUUUUUCAUGAUCUUAUCUAAAGCCUUCAACAGAGGUUUCUGUGUUCCAGUUAUGAGACUGACAGCCCGACUGGACAGGCUUUAGCUUUGGAUUGUCAGCUAGAAUAUAUGAGUAUAUGCUAUAUCAUAUACAGUACAUAUAGAAAUAAACUUGAAUGCACUUGCACAAUCAAGGUGUCCUUUCCAUCCCUGUAGAUUUUGAACAAAUAUUUAAGGGCUAAUUGUGAGGCUAUAUACAAGCUACUGCAACAUAACAUUCUCAAAGCCAUGUAAUGCGCUUUUUGGUAGUUUCACAUGCAAGAUAACAAUGAGACCAGAUACCAGUCCACUGCAGGGGCCUCCAGCACAUGUCCAGUUUGGAAUCAGCACUUGACCUAACCAGCGCACCUUUGGAGAAACUGGAAUACCCAGAGUAAUACACAGGCAUGGGGCGAACUGCAGAGUGCACACAGACAACACGAGGACACGGGAUUCAGUAAAUAUAUUUACACUAGCUGUGUCAAUCGGCCUCAGCCAGGAGGUUUCUCAACACAACGGUGAUACACUUGUAUUUGUACUUUAAAACUGAAAUGAAACGUGAAAUUACCUUUGAUAAUUUUUUGUACCAUAUGAUGCAGUGAGAAGUUAAGCAAAAUGAUGCGUUUAAUUGGCUAACUCAUAUGUGUCAAACUCAAGGCCCGCGGGCCACAUCCGGCCCGGCGUGUAAUUAUAUCUGGCCCACGAGAUCAUUUUAUAUAUUAUUGCUAUUAAUGGCCCGGCGAUAUGAAGCGCUGGUAACACAAUAAACUACAGAUCCUAUAAUGCAGCGCUUCAGCUGCCUUGCCGAACACUUCCCGCGUUAAUCAAGUCUAGCUUAUGAUGCUGCAAGUUAUUGCGAAGCUAGCCCUCACGAUGCCGAAGAGAAAAGUUGAUUCUGAAAACAGAGCCUUUAAAAACCGAUGGGAGGCUGAGUAUAUGUUUACUGACAUUGCCGGUAAACCCGUGUGUCUCAUUUGUGGAGCUAAUGUGGCUGUAAUUAAAGAAUUUAAUCUAAGACGGCACUAUGAGACAAAACAUCAGGAUAACCUGAAAGACCUGAAUGCAAAGCAGAAGAUACAGAAAGCAGAAGAGUUAAAGAAGAAUCUGACACUUCAGCAGACGUUUUUUACCCGUGCAAAAUCACAAAGUGAAGCUGCUUGAAGCUGCUUUUAUGGGAAACACAAAUGCACCAGUGCAACUUGCCCCACUUUCCCUGUUGCCAAGAAAUGUUGAACCAAGUCAGCACAACGGUGUUCCCAAAUACGCACUUUGCUGAUAAACUGAGCGCACUGAGUUCGCACGGCGCUUUGGUGACUUUGAGGAACAAAAAAAGAAUUUUGAGUUGCUUCGCAACCCAUUUGCUGUCGAUGUGGAAACUGCACCUGUGCAGAUUCAGAUGGAGCUGAUUGAGCUGCAGUGUAAUGGCACACUGAAGGCAAAGUACGAUACUGCAGGGCCCGCACAGUUUAUUCACUCCAUUCCCGCAGAAAUGCUCCAGCUCCAUCUACAUGCGGCUCGAACCUUGUGCAUGUUUGGUAGCACAUAUCUGUGUGAGAAGCUCUUCUCAGUGAUGAAGACUAACAAAACAGCACACAGGAGUCGUCUCACUGAUGAGAACCUGCAGUCCAUCCUGAGAAUCUCCACAACACAGAACCUCACACCAAACAUAAACGAACUUAUUGCCAAAAAAAGAUGCCAGGCGUCCAGCUCUGAUAAAAUGACAUAAGAGCAAAGACAACUGAAUGAUUUGAUUUGUUAUUGCUGAAAAGCACAAAUUUUAUUUAUAUUUCCAGGUUUUGUUAUGCAGCAUGUUCAUAUUUUGAAUUUGUAUAAUUUUGACAGGAUAUAUUUU
Long non-coding RNA from Erpetoichthys calabaricus (reedfish), 1984 nucleotides. RefSeq lists it as uncharacterized. NCBI's taxonomy places the organism in Eukaryota, Metazoa, Chordata, Cladistia, Polypteriformes, Polypteridae. The record is from RefSeq and is a predicted model, not a curated record. The transcript has 2 exons.